AUAAUUGCUUGCUGUUAAGAGUCAGCUAAGGAUGCCUGUUGAAAAUAGACUCCACGCCCCCUUCCCUUCGAAGGCUGAUUCUGCAGGUAUGGUGGGACUCUGGGGCUCCUUAUCAUUGGGAAGGUUUAAGAAACAUUUUAUUUCUUGACUCUUAAUGUUGGAUGGAUAUUGGAAUCACUUGGGGAGCUUUACAAAAGUAGCACUGGGGCCGGGCACGGUGACUCAUGUCUGUAAUCCCAGCACUUUGGGAAGCCUAGACAGGCAGAUCAUGAGGUCAGGAGAUUGAGACCAUCCUGGCUAACACGGUGAAACCCCGUCUCUACUAAAAAUACAAAAAAUUAGCCGGGCGUGGUGGCGGGCACCUGUAGUCCCAGCUACUCGGGAGGCUGAGGCAGGAGAAUUGCUUGAACUCAGGAGGUGGAGCUUGCAGUGAGCCGAGAUUUCGCCAGUGCACUCCAGCCUGGGCGAUAGAGUGAGACUCCAUCUCACACACACACACACACACACACACACACACAAAGUAGUACUGGGCCUGGGUCCCACGGAAGAGAUUCUGGCUUAGUUUAUGGUGUGGCCCGGGCAUUUGGAUUUUUUGAAGCUUCCGGGUGCUUCUAAUUUGCAGCCAAAGUUUAGAACCGCUGACUUGAUUGAAACAAUAGCCAGUUAUCUGUAACAUAUGUGAAAGCAAUAUCUAACAUUUCCAUUAAGACAUACAAAGUGCUUUUACAGAUGUGUGUCUUAUUUGAAUCCUUGACAACCUGGUGAAGUAGGUUAGAGUUGGUUAUUAUCUUUCCUUUACAGGUAAGCGAACUAGACUUCAGAGAGGUGAAGUAGUUUGAUGGAGGACCACUCGCAGCAGAAUUCUGGAACUGCUGAGGUGUACCUUAGGCAUGCUACUACCUCACUCUCUAUGUGCCCUGGCUCCUACUAGCUCUCCGGCUUUCCCAGCCUCCCUUUAAAAGAAAAGAAAAGAGGCCAGGCAUGGUGGCUUACACUUGUAAUCCUAGCACUUUGGAGGCUGAGGUGGGAGGAUCACUUGAGCCUAGGAGUUCAAGACUAGCUGGGGCAACAUAGUGAGACAUCAUCUCUACCAAAAAAAAAAAAAUUAAAAAAAAAUUGGCUGGGCAUGGUGGUGCACACCUGUAGUCCCAGCUACUUGGGAAGCUGAGGUGGGAGGAUCACUUGAGCCCAGGAAGUUGAGGCUGCAGUGAGCCAUGAUUAUGCCACUGAACUCUAGCCUAGGCAAUAGAACAAGACCCUGUCCAAAAAGAAAAGAAAAGCUCUCUUGUUUCUAGAGCUUCUCUUACGUUGGAAUUGUUAUUGAUAAUAAUACAACAGCAGUAGGAGCUAACAUUGGGCCCUUUGUAUACAUUGUGCUAAGAGCUCUACAUGCAUUAUCUUAAUUGUCUUGAAGACUCUGUGAGGUAGGUCAUAUAUGUUAUAUCCCCAUUUUAUAGCGUAGGAAACUGAGUCUUAGAGAGUAACUGGCUUGCUAAGGGUCAUAUUCCUAUGCAAACAUUCUUCUUAUUUUAUCUAAGCCUUUUCUUAUUUUCCGUUCAGUCAACCAAAUUUCAGCAAGUGGCAGAGAGGAAAAGAAUCAGGUAAAGUAUUUCUGAGCUGGGCACGGUGGCUCACGCCUGUAAUCCCAGCACUUUGGGAGGCUGGGUGGAUCACCUGAGGUCAGGAGUUCGAGACCAGCCUGGCCUACAUGGUGAAACCCCGUCUUUACUAAAAAUACAAAAAAUUAGCUGGGCGUGGUGGUGGGCACCUGCAAUCCCAGCUACUCAGGAGGCUGAGGCAGGAGAAUUGCUUGAAUCUGGGAGGCGGAGGCUGCAGUGAGCUGAGAUUGUGCCAUUGCACUCUAGCCUGGGCAACGAGAGCAAAGCUCUGUCUCAAAAAAAAAAAAAAGAAUUGCUGAAUACGCGAUGAUUGACAAUGACAACUUCCUUGAAUUGUAUUACCACUUCUAAUAUGGGGACUGGAUUUUUAAAGAAACUUCUGGAGCCAGUCACGCAAAAGCAUGAGGAUCUAGUGCUUGAAGGAUUCAGUUGGAGAAUCAUGGGUUGUUAAUUCCUAACUAACCCUGCCUUUCCAGAGACAGCAGUAGUUCCCUGAAUUAAGGCCUAGAUCUGGCAUCAGAAGGCUUGGGCACAGGUCUCAGAUGGCUUUUUUUAGCUGUGGGGUCUUGAGCCAGUCCUAUCCAGGACAAAGUUUUAUGUUCUGAGUGAAUCAGGCCAAGUUGGAACAUUAAUCAAUGCUCUUAUGUCUACUUUUCUAAGGUUUGCAAAACGCUGAGCAUAUUUUUUUGUGGUCUCAGUAUUCAGAGCUCAAAGUACAUCAGGUGAAGAACCUGGAAUCUACAAGUUCAAGAGGCAUGGGGAGCACCUUGGUGAGGUCCACAAACUCUUUGCAGAAGUUCAGCACAAUUUUAUGGUGCUAAAAAGAGAGUGAAAGAUGUAAAAGAACAGAAUUUCUUUAUCCAUCCAAUAUAUUUAUUUUCCUUCCUCCCUCCCUCCCUCCGUCCCUCCUUCCCUCCCUCCUUCCCUCCCUCCUUCCCUCCCUCCUUUUUCUUUCUUGGCAGGGUCUUGUUUUAUCACCUAGGCUGGAAUGCAGUGGAACCUGCUUAGCUCACUGUAGCCUUGAACUGCUGGGCUCAAGCAGUCCUCCUGUUUUGGCCUCUGAAGCAACUGGGACUACAGACGGAGUCUGGUUCUGUCGCCCAGGCUGGAGUACAGUGGUGCGAUCUGGGCUCACCUCCAUCUCCCGGGUUCACGCCAUUCUCCUGCCUCAGCCUCCCGAGUAGCUGGGACUACAGGCGCCCACCACCAUGCCCGGCUAAUUUUUUUGUAUUUUUUAGUACAGACGGGGUUUCACUGUGUUAGCCAGGAUGGUCUCGAUCUCCUGACCUCGUGAUCCACCCGCCUUGGCCUCCCAAAGUGCUGGGAUUACAGCCACGAGCCACCGCACCUGGCCCCCAGCUUAAUUCUUGUUUUCUCAAACUUGGCAACCAAACCCAACCCAAACCAAACCGUACCAAAACACUACCCCCUUCUCACUAACAUGUCUUCCGAAAGAAAAAAGUCCCUUCAGUUAUUAAGAGCUACACUGCCAGUUCUAUAACUCAACCUUACUAAAGAACCCCAGGAGAGACAACCAGUAAUGCAUUUACUAUGGGAUAAUUAAUUGUUCUAACUUAAUGCUUCCAAAUCAGUAAUCACUUGUGUUAGAUUGACCUUUUGUAUCUCAAAGGUGGGAAACCGUCUAGCCUCAAGCGGAAGUUCUCUGGUCUCUAUCUUUGUAUCACUUUUCAAUUGCAGCAUAAUGAUGAACAGUAUCCAUGCUAUAAUACCAAGAACCGAUUUUAUUAUUAGCAUCUACAACUUAAUUGCAGGCUACCUGGUGUUAUCUGCUCUUCCUUGAUAGAACCGUAUUUGAGAGAGGAAAACAAUCAUUUGGGAACCGUGUUUGUGUCGAGAAAGAGGAGUUAGUGCUAUUUGUUUUCAUAAGCAGAGAGGAAGUUAUCAACCCUGCAGAUUCUAAAAUUCUAAAUCUCAAGAGCUUUUAACAUUUCCUCUUUAAGGCAUCAAGCAGCUGUUUCUCUUGGGAGGGCUCCUGGAAACCAACUGAGUUGAACAUGGGGUAAUGGAAUGUGGAUUUGAAAAAGGAAUACCAAGAUACAGCUUGUAAUCUUUCUCUCUCUCUCUCUCUCUCUCUCUCUCACACACACACACACACACACACACACAUACACACACACACACACACACACACACAUGCCCCAGGCCUCAGGCCCCAGGCCCCAGAACCUGUGAACAGCUUAGGGCAAAUGAAGUUCUUUCUUCCUUACAGCCAGGCAAAGCAAGAAUCCACUCUGUCAGGUGGCUUUUCUCAUGUCGCCCUUGGGGCCUAUGCUUAGAGAAGCCCUGUGGCCGGCAGCACAGCUGUGACCCAGUUGCCCUGAAAUAGGAGCAGUCAGACACGUGGCCCCAGGAGAAACAACAGCAGCAACAACAACAGCAGGAGCUUCUUCUCCAAACUGCUGCACCCUCUUUAAGAGGGUCUUCCCUAUUAAAGAAACGGAGGCCUACAAUGUGUACCUUCCUCUGCCUCCCACUAGAGCUGCAAACAACGCCUUAGCACCCAGGAACACUGGCCCACUCUCUAAAUGUCUGUGACAUUUGUAUCAUCAUAAUAACCCUUUAUAAUAAAACAACGUCCUACCGCUGGGUGUGUUCAUCCAUCAAUAUGUGCAUGUAGUAUUCUGAU
RNAcentral lists this long non-coding RNA (4266 nucleotides) under Homo sapiens (human). RNAcentral's name for it is "non-protein coding lnc-ZC3H12D-4:9". Lineage: Eukaryota; Metazoa; Chordata; Mammalia; Primates; Hominidae. The record is from RNAcentral.